Molecule: ribosomal RNA, 37 nt
Filed under: Thomasclavelia cocleata
Lineage: Bacteria; Bacillati; Bacillota; Erysipelotrichia; Erysipelotrichales; Coprobacillaceae
Description: [Clostridium] cocleatum 16S rRNA. Bacterial SSU
Source: RNAcentral
AAACAAUGGAGAGUUUGAUCCUGGCUCAGGAUGAACG